GCAGUGGUGGGUCAGUGGUAAAACAUCUGCCUUCCACACAGGAGACCCAGGAUCGGUUCCUGGCCAGCGCA
This 71-nucleotide transfer RNA is filed under the name Loxodonta africana (African savanna elephant). It matches the Rfam family "tRNA". Rfam says of the family: Transfer RNA (tRNA) molecules are approximately 80 nucleotides in length. Their secondary structure includes four short double-helical elements and three loops (D, anti-codon, and T loops). The record is from Rfam by way of RNAcentral. Lineage: Eukaryota; Metazoa; Chordata; Mammalia; Proboscidea; Elephantidae.